AACUAACGCUGGCGGCGUGCCUAACACAUGCAAGUCGUACGAGAAAGUUGGCUUCGGCCGAUGAGUACAGUGGCGCACGGGUGAGUAACGCGUGGAUAAUCUGCCCUUAAGUGUGGAAUAACGUACCGAAAGGUGCGCUAAUACCGCAUAAUGCCUGGCAACAUAAGUUGUCCGGCCAAAGAAGGCCUCUGCUUGCAAGCUUUCGCUAAAGGAUGAGUCCGCGUACCAUUAGCUAGUUGGUGGGGUAACGGCCUACCAAGGCGACGAUGGUUAGCUGGUCUGAGAGGAUGAUCAGCCACACUGGAACUGAGACACGGUCCAGACUCCUACGGGAGGCAGCAGUGAGGAAUAUUGCGCAAUGGGGGCAACCCUGACGGAGCGACGCCGCGUGUGGGAUGAAGUCUUUCGGGAUGUAAACCAUUUUCGCUGGGAAAGAAGGUCUCAGUCGUGAACUGAGAAUUGACGGUACCGGUAAAGAAGCCCGGCUAACUCCGUGCC
RNAcentral lists this ribosomal RNA (498 nucleotides) under uncultured bacterium. RNAcentral's name for it is "bacterial SSU rRNA". It matches the Rfam family "Bacterial small subunit ribosomal RNA", at positions 29 to 509 of the family's 1533-position model. The record is from RNAcentral.